UAAUACGGAGGGUGCAAGCGUUAUCCGGAUUCACUGGGUUUAAAGGGUGCGUAGGUGGGUCUGUAAGUCAGUGGUGAAAUCUCCGGGCUUAACCCGGAAACUGCCAUUGAUACUAUAGGUCUUGAAUUAUCUGGAGGUAAGCGGAAUAUGUCAUGUAGCGGUGAAAUGCUUAGAUAUGACAUAGAACACCAAUUGCGAAGGCAGCUUACUACGGAUUGAUUGACACUGAGGCACGAAAGCGUGGGGAUCAAACAGGAUUAGAUACCCUGGUAGUCCACGCCCUAAACGAUGGAUACUCGACAUACGCGAUACACAGUGUGUGUCUGAGCGAAAGCAUUAAGUAUCCCACCUGGGAAGUACGACCGCAAGGUUG
RNAcentral lists this ribosomal RNA (373 nucleotides) under uncultured bacterium. Its description in RNAcentral is "bacterial SSU rRNA". It matches the Rfam family "Bacterial small subunit ribosomal RNA", at positions 521 to 896 of the family's 1533-position model. The record is from RNAcentral.